Molecule: small nuclear RNA, 68 nt
Filed under: Pygoscelis adeliae (Adelie penguin)
Lineage: Eukaryota; Metazoa; Chordata; Aves; Sphenisciformes; Spheniscidae
Also listed under: 1 other name
Description: U5 spliceosomal RNA
Rfam family: U5 spliceosomal RNA
About the family: U5 RNA is a component of both types of known spliceosome. The precise function of this molecule is unknown, though it is known that the 5' loop is required for splice site selection and p220 binding, and that both the 3' stem-loop and the Sm site are important for Sm protein binding and cap methylation.
Source: Rfam by way of RNAcentral
UGGUUUCUCUUCAGAUUGUGUAAAUCUUUUGCCUUUUACUAAAGAUUUCUGUGGAGAGGAACAAUUUA